This 690-nucleotide long non-coding RNA is filed under the name Vulpes vulpes (red fox). Its description in RNAcentral is "lncRNA (ENSVVUG00000010900.1)". Lineage: Eukaryota; Metazoa; Chordata; Mammalia; Carnivora; Canidae. The record is from RNAcentral.
AAGAUCAGUGCAGCAUUUUAAACCUCCAGUGCAGAUGGGCUAUUAGGAAUCUAAGGAGUUCAACAAGCCUGAAUCAAAGUCAGCUUAAUAACCACUGUCUCUGCUCCAUCAUAGGCCUGGAUUUCUUUUUUCUUUCUGAUCAUGAUUUUUCAUCAUUUUCUCAGGUGGGAUAUGGACCAGCCAGUCACUUUAGUAGAGAGCCCUCAUUUCAGGCAGCUUCAAAUGCCUCAUCAUUUCUGAACGAGUUUCAGCUCCAGGAGAUUUCAGUGCUGGAGGAAUUGCAAUAAGCUAUGAAACUUUAUCCCUUCUCAAGACUCUUCCAAGUCACUGGGGAACUCUGGCUUCCACGGCAUGGACAGCCUGGUCCGAGUGUGCAAAGCUGUGGCUUCCCCUCCUGUGGAUGCCUUCUGAACAGCAGAUCUGACUUCCUCCUCAAACCAAGGCAUCCUGAAAACAUCCAAGCAGAGGAAGCAUUUUUUCACCAUGACAUGGGAAAGGGCCAUAGAGAUCCAAAUGGAAACGGACAUUUCAUGCUUUGAUUGCCAAGAUUUCCAAGCAUGGAUAACUGAAGAAGAUUGCUUGAAUUGACUUCAGCACAAAUGAAUUCCUUAAAAAAUGGUUUGGAUAGAUAUAGCCUCACAUAUAGAAAAAUUUAACCAAUUUCAGAGAAUAAAUCAACAGAGCAUGGCA